AAGACCUUCAGGCCAUAACCCCAACUGGGAGUGGGGAUGGGCCAAAGAGGUGACCAGGCACUGAGGAGGAGCCCGGAGGUGGAGGUCAGGAGCAGCUGGAAGAGCAGGAGGAGCCCGGAGGUGGAGGUCAGGAGCAGCUGGAAGAGCAGGAGGAGCCCAGAGGUGGAGGUCAGGAGCAGCUGGAAGAGCAGGAGGAUCCCGGAGGUGGAGGUCAGGAGCAGCUGGAAGAGCA
This 232-nucleotide long non-coding RNA is filed under the name Homo sapiens (human). Its description in RNAcentral is "long non-coding RNA NONHSAT181384.1". The record is from RNAcentral. Lineage: Eukaryota; Metazoa; Chordata; Mammalia; Primates; Hominidae.